RNAcentral lists this ribosomal RNA (2894 nucleotides) under Pseudomonas syringae. RNAcentral's name for it is "23S ribosomal RNA". It matches the Rfam family "Bacterial large subunit ribosomal RNA". The record is from RNAcentral. Lineage: Bacteria; Pseudomonadati; Pseudomonadota; Gammaproteobacteria; Pseudomonadales; Pseudomonadaceae.
GGUCAAGUGAAGAAGCGCAUACGGUGGAUGCCUUGGCAGUCAGAGGCGAUGAAAGACGUGGUAGCCUGCGAAAAGCUUCGGGGAGUCGGCAAACAGACUGUGAUCCGGAGGUAUCUGAAUGGGGGAACCCAGCCAUCAUAAGAUGGUUAUCUUGUACUGAAUACAUAGGUGCAAGAGGCGAACCAGGGGAACUGAAACAUCUAAGUACCCUGAGGAAAAGAAAUCAACCGAGAUUCCCUUAGUAGUGGCGAGCGAACGGGGACCAGCCCUUAAGUUGUAUUGAGAUUAGCGGAACACUCUGGAAAGGGUGGCCAUAGUGGGUGAUAGCCCUGUACGCGAAAAUCCCUUUGCAAUGAAAUCGAGUAGGACGGGGCACGAGAAACCUUGUCUGAAUAUGGGGGGACCAUCCUCCAAGGCUAAAUACUACUGACUGACCGAUAGUGAACCAGUACCGUGAGGGAAAGGCGAAAAGAACCGCGGAGAGCGGAGUGAAAUAGAUCCUGAAACCGUAUGCGUACAAGCAGUGGGAGCCCACUUUGUUGGGUGACUGCGUACCUUUUGUAUAAUGGGUCAGCGACUUAUUUUCAGUGGCGAGCUUAACCGAAUAGGGGAGGCGUAGCGAAAGCGAGUCUUAAUAGGGCGUCUAGUCGCUGGGAAUAGACCCGAAACCGGGCGAUCUAUCCAUGGGCAGGUUGAAGGUUGGGUAACACUAACUGGAGGACCGAACCGACUACCGUUGAAAAGUUAGCGGAUGACCUGUGGAUCGGAGUGAAAGGCUAAUCAAGCUCGGAGAUAGCUGGUUCUCCUCGAAAGCUAUUUAGGUAGCGCCUCAUGUAUCACUGUAGGGGGUAGAGCACUGUUUCGGCUAGGGGGUCAUCCCGACUUACCAAACCGAUGCAAACUCCGAAUACCUACAAGUGCCGAGCAUGGGAGACACACGGCGGGUGCUAACGUCCGUCGUGAAAAGGGAAACAACCCAGACCGUCAGCUAAGGUCCCAAAGUCAUGGUUAAGUGGGAAACGAUGUGGGAAGGCUUAGACAGCUAGGAGGUUGGCUUAGAAGCAGCCACCCUUUAAAGAAAGCGUAAUAGCUCACUAGUCGAGUCGGCCUGCGCGGAAGAUGUAACGGGGCUCAAACCAUGCACCGAAGCUACGGGUAUCAUCUUUUGAUGAUGCGGUAGAGGAGCGUUCUGUAAGCCUGUGAAGGUGAGUUGAGAAGCUUGCUGGAGGUAUCAGAAGUGCGAAUGCUGACAUGAGUAACGACAAUGGGUGUGAAAAACACCCACGCCGAAAGACCAAGGUUUCCUGCGCAACGUUAAUCGACGCAGGGUUAGUCGGUCCCUAAGGCGAGGCUGAAAAGCGUAGUCGAUGGAAAACAGGUUAAUAUUCCUGUACUUCUGGUUAUUGCGAUGGAGGGACGGAGAAGGCUAGGCCAGCCUGGCGUUGGUUGUCCAGGUUUAAGGUGGUAGGCUGAGAUCUUAGGUAAAUCCGGGAUCUUAAGGCCGAGAGCUGAUGACGAGUGUUCUUUUAGAACACGAAGUGGUUGAUGCCAUGCUUCCAAGAAAAGCUUCUAAGCUUCAGGUAACCAGGAACCGUACCCCAAACCGACACAGGUGGUUGGGUAGAGAAUACCAAGGCGCUUGAGAGAACUCGGGUGAAGGAACUAGGCAAAAUGGCACCGUAACUUCGGGAGAAGGUGCGCCGGUGAGGGUGAAGCAUUUACUGCGUAAGCCCAUGCCGGUCGAAGAUACCAGGCCGCUGCGACUGUUUAUUAAAAACACAGCACUCUGCAAACACGAAAGUGGACGUAUAGGGUGUGACGCCUGCCCGGUGCCGGAAGGUUAAUUGAUGGGGUUAGCGCAAGCGAAGCUCUUGAUCGAAGCCCCGGUAAACGGCGGCCGUAACUAUAACGGUCCUAAGGUAGCGAAAUUCCUUGUCGGGUAAGUUCCGACCUGCACGAAUGGCGUAACGAUGGCGGCGCUGUCUCCACCCGAGACUCAGUGAAAUUGAAAUCGCUGUGAAGAUGCAGUGUAUCCGCGGCUAGACGGAAAGACCCCGUGAACCUUUACUAUAGCUUUGCACUGGACUUUGAAUUUGCUUGUGUAGGAUAGGUGGGAGGCUUUGAAGCGUGGACGCCAGUCUGCGUGGAGCCAACCUUGAAAUACCACCCUGGCAACUUUGAGGUUCUAACUCAGGUCCGUUAUCCGGAUCGAGGACAGUGUAUGGUGGGUAGUUUGACUGGGGCGGUCUCCUCCUAAAGAGUAACGGAGGAGUACGAAGGUGCGCUCAGACCGGUCGGAAAUCGGUCGUAGAGUAUAAAGGCAAAAGCGCGCUUGACUGCGAGACAGACACGUCGAGCAGGUACGAAAGUAGGUCUUAGUGAUCCGGUGGUUCUGUAUGGAAGGGCCAUCGCUCAACGGAUAAAAGGUACUCCGGGGAUAACAGGCUGAUACCGCCCAAGAGUUCAUAUCGACGGCGGUGUUUGGCACCUCGAUGUCGGCUCAUCACAUCCUGGGGCUGAAGCCGGUCCCAAGGGUAUGGCUGUUCGCCAUUUAAAGUGGUACGCGAGCUGGGUUUAGAACGUCGUGAGACAGUUCGGUCCCUAUCUGCCGUGGACGUUUGAGAUUUGAGAGGGGCUGCUCCUAGUACGAGAGGACCGGAGUGGACGAACCUCUGGUGUUCCGGUUGUCACGCCAGUGGCAUUGCCGGGUAGCUAUGUUCGGAAAAGAUAACCGCUGAAAGCAUCUAAGCGGGAAACUUGCCUCAAGAUGAGAUCUCACUGGAACCUUGAGUUCCCUAAAGGGCCGUCGAAGACUACGACGUUGAUAGGUUGGGUGUGUAAGCGCUGUGAGGCGUUGAGCUAACCAAUACUAAUUGCCCGUGAGGCUUGACCAU